GGCUCCAUAGUGUAGUGGUUAGCACGUCUGCUUUACAUCCAGAAUGUCCUGGGUUCGCGCCCCAGGUGGAGCCA
This 74-nucleotide transfer RNA is filed under the name Pteropus alecto (black flying fox). It matches the Rfam family "tRNA". From Rfam's summary of the family: Transfer RNA (tRNA) molecules are approximately 80 nucleotides in length. Their secondary structure includes four short double-helical elements and three loops (D, anti-codon, and T loops). The record is from Rfam by way of RNAcentral. Lineage: Eukaryota; Metazoa; Chordata; Mammalia; Chiroptera; Pteropodidae. RNAcentral also lists the same sequence under 1 other name.